This 866-nucleotide long non-coding RNA is filed under the name Callithrix jacchus (white-tufted-ear marmoset). RNAcentral's name for it is "lncRNA (ENSCJAG00000058817.2)". The record is from RNAcentral. Lineage: Eukaryota; Metazoa; Chordata; Mammalia; Primates; Cebidae.
CCCGAGGCUCACGUCACAGUGACCGCCCCCGUGGCCUGGGGAACCGCCGUCUCAGCGGCUGGGCAAGGCAUGGGCCCUCCAUGGCAGUCCUUUGGCAUUGGGCAACGGCCCACCCCCGUCUUUCGGGAUCGUCGCCCAGGUCCCGUGAUUUCAGGAUUCCCGCAGGGUGGAGCCAGGCUGAGGAAAGCUGCAGGGGAGCUUCAGGGAUGCCCAGGGCGAUCCCCAAGGAUCCCCAGGAUACUUCAGGCCUGCUCAGACGCUGUGGGAAAUGCGUCUCCUUGAACGCUGUCCCUGCUGGGAAUUCCAGUUCUCCCAGAGAAGCAGAGGAGGAAAACAGAGCUUCGUUCCUGAGGGAGGAAAACAUGAGCUCUUGGAUGGCAGGAAAGAGUUCCUAGAGAGAGAAGACAAAGAGCCUUUGUGCUGCAAAAGAAACCCCAGGCUGAAGACUGGAGAUCUGAAUGUGCAACCUGCAAGGGAACUGGAGACAAUGAAACUCCUGUCAGGUAAGUUGGAUGCUAGAAGCUUGUGUGGAGGGGAUGAAGGUUCCGUGUUUAUGAUUUGCCCAUAACAGCAAACAAGUAAAACCAAACCGCAGGGUAGGACCUGCCAUAAAAUAGAAUUUAGUAAAAACAGUCCUUCAGAAACAGAUUUCAUCCACUGAUUCACCUUCCACACACGGUUACAGUCUCGACUUGUGUCCAUAAAAGUGAGAAUCUGCAUUUUUUACACUGAGAAUUAUUUUUCUCUCGACAGGUCAAGUUGACAAGGGGUCUCAGUGUAGAGGCCAUCAAAGUAAUUUUGGUCAAAACACUUGGUGGCAAGAUGAUGAAGUUUUCUGUUGAAACAAUAAAGUGACUAAAUCCGUU